UACGGCCGCAUCAUGUUGAAACACCGGUUCCCGUAUGAUCACCGAAGUUAAACAACGUCGAAUCUGGCCAAUACCUAGAUGGGUAAACGCUUGAGAAUAUCAGGUGCUGUAA
This is a non-coding RNA of Acanthosepion pharaonis, 112 nucleotides long. NCBI's taxonomy places the organism in Eukaryota, Metazoa, Mollusca, Cephalopoda, Sepiida, Sepiidae. The record is from the annotation of a GenBank genome assembly.